UACGAAGGGUGCUAGCGUUGUUCGGAAUUAUUGGGCGUAAAGCGUAUGUAGGUGGUUUUGUAAGUCGGUUGUGAAAGCCCUGGGCUUAACCCAGGAAUUGCAAUCGAAACUGCAUUACUUGAGUUUGGUAGGGGAUAGUGGAAUUCCUAGUGUAGGGGUGAAAUCCGUAGAUAUUAGGAGGAAUAUCAAUGGCGAAGGCAACUAUCUGGGCCAAUACUGACGCUGAGAUACGAAAGCGUGGGGAGCAAACAGG
RNAcentral lists this ribosomal RNA (253 nucleotides) under uncultured bacterium. Its description in RNAcentral is "partial 16S ribosomal RNA". It matches the Rfam family "Bacterial small subunit ribosomal RNA", at positions 524 to 776 of the family's 1533-position model. The record is from RNAcentral.